Caenorhabditis brenneri is the source of this 62-nucleotide non-coding RNA. The record is from Rfam. Lineage: Eukaryota; Metazoa; Nematoda; Chromadorea; Rhabditida; Rhabditidae.
AGCUGAUUUCUCUACAGGUGAUAAUUCCAUCGAGUGUUUAUCACCGGGAGUAAAUCUGCUCU